This 301-nucleotide ribosomal RNA is filed under the name uncultured bacterium. RNAcentral describes it as "partial 16S ribosomal RNA". It matches the Rfam family "Bacterial small subunit ribosomal RNA", at positions 509 to 809 of the family's 1533-position model. The record is from RNAcentral.
CAGUCGCCACGGGAAUACGAGGGGGGCAAGCGUUGUUCGGAAUUAUUGGGCGUAAAGGGCGCGUAGGCGGUUUGACAAGUCUGAUGUGAAAUCUCUGGGCUCAACCCAGAGUCUGCAUCGGAAACUGUCGAGCUUGAGUAUGGGAGAGGUGAGUGGAAUUUCCGGUGUAGCGGUGAAAUGCGUAGAUAUCGGAAGGAACACCUGUGGCGAAAGCGGCUCACUGGACCAUUACUGACGCUGAGGCGCGAAAGCUAGGGGAGCAAACAGGAUUAGAUACCCCCGUAGUCCCUGUCUCUUAUAA